This 86-nucleotide transfer RNA is filed under the name Candidatus Eiseniibacteriota bacterium. RNAcentral's name for it is "tRNA-Leu". It matches the Rfam family "tRNA". From Rfam's summary of the family: Transfer RNA (tRNA) molecules are approximately 80 nucleotides in length. Their secondary structure includes four short double-helical elements and three loops (D, anti-codon, and T loops). Lineage: Bacteria; Candidatus Eiseniibacteriota. The record is from RNAcentral.
GCCGGGAUGGCGAAAUGGCAGACGCAGCGGACUUAAAAUCCGCAGGGCUCACGCCCAUGCAGGUUCGAGUCCUGCUCCCGGCACCA